This 367-nucleotide unclassified non-coding RNA is filed under the name uncultured bacterium. RNAcentral's name for it is "contains 16S-23S intergenic spacer region". The record is from RNAcentral.
UCCCCGUUACCGGGGCAGUCGACUGUGAGAAAUACAACACAGUCCGAGGGUUGCGCUCGUUUAGGGACUUAACCCGACAUCUCACGACACGAGCUGACGACAACCAUGCAGCGCCUGUUACUACUUUCCCUUUCGGGCACCUCCCUGUUUCCAGGGCAUUAGUAGAAUGUCAAACCUUGGUAAGGUUCUUCGCUUACCGUCGAAUUAAACCACAUGCUCCACCGCUUGUGUGGAUCCCCGUCAAUUUCUUUGAGUUUUAGUCUUGCGACCGUACUUCCCAGGCGGGAUACUUAAUGCGUUAGCUUAGACACUCAGAGGGGUCGAUUCCUCCGAACGUCGAGUAUCCAAUGUUUAAGGCGUGGACUAC